CCCCUCUUAGGGUCGCACCUGGAGAGUUUCCAGUACUCUUCCAGUCUCUAUUAUAGGAGGGAGAGUCAAGCAGAGGCAUAUCCACUCCAUUCCUAGGCUAGGCAGUGGCUAGUGAGUGGAAGGCCAUCUGCUACAAGU
This is a small nucleolar RNA of Ornithorhynchus anatinus (platypus), 138 nucleotides long. The record is from RefSeq and is a predicted model, not a curated record. NCBI's taxonomy places the organism in Eukaryota, Metazoa, Chordata, Mammalia, Monotremata, Ornithorhynchidae.